Molecule: ribosomal RNA, 504 nt
Filed under: Lacticaseibacillus rhamnosus
Lineage: Bacteria; Bacillati; Bacillota; Bacilli; Lactobacillales; Lactobacillaceae
Description: bacterial SSU rRNA
Rfam family: Bacterial small subunit ribosomal RNA
Source: RNAcentral
UGGCAGUCGAACGAGUUCUGAUUAUUGAAAGGUGCUUGCAUCUUGAUUUAAUUUUGAACGAGUGGCGGACGGGUGAGUAACACGUGGGUAACCUGCCCUUAAGUGGGGGAUAACAUUUGGAAACAGAUGCUAAUACCGCAUAAAUCCAAGAACCGCAUGGUUCUUGGCUGAAAGAUGGCGUAAGCUAUCGCUUUUGGAUGGACCCGCGGCGUAUUAGCUAGUUGGUGAGGUAACGGCUCACCAAGGCAAUGAUACGUAGCCGAACUGAGAGGUUGAUCGGCCACAUUGGGACUGAGACACGGCCCAAACUCCUACGGGAGGCAGCAGUAGGGAAUCUUCCACAAUGGACGCAAGUCUGAUGGAGCAACGCCGCGUGAGUGAAGAAGGCUUUCGGGUCGUAAAACUCUGUUGUUGGAGAAGAAUGGUCGGCAGAGUAACUGUUGUCGGCGUGACGGUAUCCAACCAGAAAGCCACGGCUAACUACGUGCCAGCACGGGCGGGUAA